RNAcentral lists this ribosomal RNA (406 nucleotides) under uncultured bacterium. RNAcentral describes it as "partial 16S ribosomal RNA". It matches the Rfam family "Bacterial small subunit ribosomal RNA", at positions 30 to 526 of the family's 1533-position model. The record is from RNAcentral.
AUUGAACGCUGGCGGCAGGCCUAACACAUGCAAGUCGAGCGAGCGGCGGACGGGUGAGUAAUGUAUGGGAACCUGCCUGAUGGAGGGGGAUAACUACUGGAAACGGUGGCUACUACCGCAUACCAUCAGAUGUGCCCAUAUGGGAUUAGCUAGUGGGUGGGGUAAAGGCUCCCCUAGGCGACGAUCCCUAGCUGGUCUGAGAGGAUGAUCAGCCACACUGGGACUGAGACACGGCCCAGACUCCUACGGGAGGCAGCAGUGGGGAAUAUUGUACAAUGGGCGCAAGCCUGAUGCAGCCAUGCCGCGUGUAUGAAGAAGGCCUUCGGGUUGUAAAGCACUUUCAGCGGGGAGGCGUUACCCGCAGAAGAAGCACCGGCUAACUCCGUGCCAGCAGCCGCGGUAAUAC